GACGGGGCCCGCACAAGCGGUGGAGUAUGUGGUUUAAUUCGAUGCAACGCGAAGAACCUUACCUGGUCUUGACAUCCCGGAGACCCUUAGGAAACUAGGGGGUGCUUCCAUCUGGAAGAAUCUGGAGACAGGUGCUGCAUGGCUGUUGUCAGCUCGUGUCGUGAGAUGUUGGGUUAAGUCCCGCAACGAGCGCAACCCUUGCCUUUAGUUGCCAGCAGUUCGGCUGGGCACUCUAAAGGGACUGCCGGUGUUAAACCGGAGGAAGGUGGGGAUGACGUCAAGUCCUCAUGGCCUUUAUGACCAGGGCUACACACGUACUACAAUGGCCGAUACAAAGGGCAGCGACACUGCGAGGUGAAGCCAAUCCCGUAAAAUCGGUCUCAGUCCGGAUUGGAGUCUGCAACUCGACUCCAUGAAGUUGGAAUCGCUAGUAAUCGUGGAUCAGCAUGCCACGGUGAAUACGUUCCCGGGCCUU
This 475-nucleotide ribosomal RNA is filed under the name uncultured Desulfobulbus sp. Its description in RNAcentral is "bacterial SSU rRNA". It matches the Rfam family "Bacterial small subunit ribosomal RNA", at positions 916 to 1381 of the family's 1533-position model. Lineage: Bacteria; Pseudomonadati; Thermodesulfobacteriota; Desulfobulbia; Desulfobulbales; Desulfobulbaceae. The record is from RNAcentral.